AUAUCUACAGCUCUCGGACGACCGACCCCUCUCGGACGUCCGACCCCUUGCGGAUGCCCGGACUUCCGUAAACUGUCGGACGUCCGAACCGUGUGUGACUUAAAGUGUCCCCAACGGCUGCUUUUACACUCCCCACUAUAUAUACCCCCUCCCACUUCGUGAGAGGGUGUCCAACACAGCUAGAACACAUCCAAGAACACCUUUCUACUCACUCACUCUUGUCUACACCAAAUCUUAGAUCCCAAGAGCAUUUGUGAGUCCCUUUGAGUGUUAUUCCAAUCAAAAGAUAGAUCGUCUCCUUCUCCUCCUUCCCACUAAAGUGAUUUGUGAUUUGAGCAAGUUUUGAGCAAUCCCCGUGAUCUUGUUACUCUUAGAGGUUGGAGACUCCUAGGCGGUAGGAGUCUUCGGAGAGGAAUCAAACCAUUGUGAUUUCCCCCGAAAAGUUUGUGAAGGUUUGGAAGCCACCUCAAGGCUUACCACUAGUGGUUGAGAAACGCCUUCAUGGAGUUUAUCUCAAAGGGAGAAUAGGGUGAGCCUUCGUGGCGUUGGUGUGCCUUCGUGGUAACAUCCGCCCCUCUAACGGUGGCGUGGCUUCCCUCCAAGGAAGUGAACAUCGGGAUACAUCCUUGUCUCUCUUGGAGUUUCGGUUAUUCCUAAUCCUAACUCUCUACUUGUGUUAAUCCUUAUUACGUACUUGUAUUUGAUUAUUGUUUACCGCUUGCCUUACUCCACUCUAAAUAGCUUACUCCUUGUCAUAGCAAUUAUUAGGCCUACACUCAUAUUCCGCACUUUUGCCUAAAAUUGCUAAGUAAUUAUUAAAAUUUGGAACUGUACCUAUUCACCCCCCCUCUAGGUCCAUCUCGAUCAUUUUUAAUUGGUAUCAGAGCCCCGUGCUCUAUUCUUGUGGCUUAACCGCCCUAGAGCGAGAUGGACGGGAUUCCAACUACGGUAGCUCCAGUGG
RNAcentral lists this long non-coding RNA (961 nucleotides) under Hordeum vulgare. Its description in RNAcentral is "long non-coding RNA (HVUL_LNC018629)". Lineage: Eukaryota; Viridiplantae; Streptophyta; Magnoliopsida; Poales; Poaceae. The record is from RNAcentral.